This 497-nucleotide ribosomal RNA is filed under the name uncultured bacterium. Its description in RNAcentral is "partial 16S ribosomal RNA". It matches the Rfam family "Bacterial small subunit ribosomal RNA", at positions 27 to 507 of the family's 1533-position model. The record is from RNAcentral.
GGGGGGGGGGGGGGGGGGGGGGGGUGCGGGCGGGGCGCGCGAGCGGACGAGGGGCUUGCUCCUCUGGCGUUGGCGGCGGACGGGUGAGUAACACGUGGAUCGCCUACCUAUAAGACUGUGAUAACUUCGGUAAACCGGAGCUCAUACCGGAGAAUCUAUUGACCCGCAUGGUUCAAUAGUGACAGACGGUGUUGCUGUCACUUAUAUAUUGCUCCGCUCCGCAUUAGCUAUUUGGUAAGGUAACGGCUUACCAAGGCAACGAUGCGUAGCCGACCUGAGAGGGUGAUCGGCCACACUGGAACUGAGACACGGUCCAGACUCCUACGGGAGGCAGCAGUAGGGAAUCUUCCGCAAUGGGCGAAAGCCUGACGGAGCAACGCCGCGUGAGUGAUGAAGGUCUUCGGAUCGUAAAACUCUGUUAUUAGGGAAGAACAAAUGUGUAAGUAACUAUGCACGUCUUGACGGUACCUAAUCAGAAAGCCACGGCUAACUACGUG